RNAcentral lists this ribosomal RNA (881 nucleotides) under uncultured Halomonas sp. RNAcentral describes it as "bacterial SSU rRNA". It matches the Rfam family "Bacterial small subunit ribosomal RNA", at positions 12 to 884 of the family's 1533-position model. The record is from RNAcentral. Lineage: Bacteria; Pseudomonadati; Pseudomonadota; Gammaproteobacteria; Oceanospirillales; Halomonadaceae.
UUUGAUCCUGGCUCAGAUUGAACGCUGGCGGCAGGCCUAACACAUGCAAGUCGAGCGGCAGCACGGGAAGCUUGCUUCCUGGUGGCGAGCGGCGGACGGGUGAGUAAUGCAUAGGAAUCUGCCCGGUAGUGGGGGAUAACCUGGGGAAACCCAGGCUAAUACCGCAUACGUCCUACGGGAGAAAGCAGGGGACCUUCGGGCCUUGCGCUAUCGGAUGAGCCUAUGUCGGAUUAGCUGGUUGGUGAGGUAAUGGCUCACCAAGGCGACGAUCCGUAGCUGGUCUGAGAGGAUGAUCAGCCACAUCGGGACUGAGACACGGCCCGAACUCCUACGGGAGGCAGCAGUGGGGAAUAUUGGACAAUGGGCGCAAGCCUGAUCCAGCCAUGCCGCGUGUGUGAAGAAGGCCCUCGGGUUGUAAAGCACUUUCAGUGGGGAAGAAAGCCUGGUGGUUAAUACCCGUCAGGAAGGACAUCACCCACAGAAGAAGCACCGGCUAACUCCGUGCCAGCAGCCGCGGUAAUACGGAGGGUGCGAGCGUUAAUCGGAAUUACUGGGCGUAAAGCGCGCGUAGGUGGCUUGAUAAGCCGGUUGUGAAAGCCCCGGGCUCAACCUGGGAACGGCAUCCGGAACUGUCAGGCUAGAGUGCAGGAGAGGAAGGUAGAAUUCCCGGUGUAGCGGUGAAAUGCGUAGAGAUCGGGAGGAAUACCAGUGGCGAAGGCGGCCUUCUGGACUGACACUGACACUGAGGUGCGAAAGCGUGGGUAGCAAACAGGAUUAGAUACCCUGGUAGUCCACGCCGUAAACGAUGUCGACUAGCCGUUGGGUCCUUCGCGGACUUUGUGGCGCAGUUAACGCGAUAAGUCGACCGCCUGGGGAGUACG